GUCCAGCAAAAUCUUCUGGCCUUCCUGAUUGGACAAUCGACCUGCUCGUCAAUCCCUAAGGAUUCUGAUGAAUGCUAAUGAUGGAGCUGAGGGACAAAGCGAGACACACUAUGCAGGUCCGGCUAGCAUUAGCGAAGCUCAGGCCGUCUGCAGCCCAGUCAAGGUUUUUACCCUCCAGUUUGCUGCCUGCUAGCGUGGCGAUGACAUUGCACCAGCCGCCGGAUAAACCAGUGAAUUCAUCGUGCAAAAUGCAGGGACAACCGUCAACAAAACACCUCACGUGACUUCACUGGAGCAGAGUGUCACGUGAUCUACACAGCUGGGCUUUAUGGCCACAAUUGUCCUGCAGCUGCCUAAAAAUUAACAAUAAAUGUAGAAUUAUU
Long non-coding RNA from Thunnus maccoyii (southern bluefin tuna), 383 nucleotides. RefSeq lists it as uncharacterized. The transcript has 2 exons. Lineage: Eukaryota; Metazoa; Chordata; Actinopteri; Scombriformes; Scombridae. The record is from RefSeq and is a predicted model, not a curated record.